This 441-nucleotide ribosomal RNA is filed under the name uncultured bacterium. RNAcentral's name for it is "bacterial SSU rRNA". It matches the Rfam family "Bacterial small subunit ribosomal RNA", at positions 338 to 795 of the family's 1533-position model. The record is from RNAcentral.
CCUACGGGGGGCAGCAGUGGGGAAUUUUGCACAAUGGACGCAAGUCUGAUGCAGCAACACUGCGUGAAGGAUGAAGGUUUUCGGAUCGUAAACUUCUUUUAUCUGGGAAUAAUCUUGAAGGUACCAGAUGAAUAAGCACCGGCUAACUACGUGCCAGCAGCCGCGGUAAUACGUAGGGUGCGAACGUUAUCCGGAUUUACUGGGCGUAAAGAGCUCGUAGGUGGCGUGACAAGUUGGAUAUUAAAUACUCCGGCUCAACUGGAGGCCUGUAUCCAAAACUGUCAUGCUAGAGGUGUGUAGGGGAGAAUGGAACUUACAGUGUAGCAGUGAAAUGCGUAGAUAUUGUAAGGAACGCCAAUGGUGAAGACAGUUCUCUGGACACCACCUGACACUGAGGAGCGAAAGCGUGGGUAGCGAACGGGCUUAGAUACCCCUGUAGUC